CUGACCCAGAGUCAGAUGAGGCCCUUUAUCUACUGACCCAGAGUCAGAUGAGGCCCUUUAUCUACUGACCCAGAGUCAGAUGAGGCCCUUUAUCUACUGACCCAGAGUCAGAUGAGGCCCUUUAUCUACUGACCCAGAGUCAGAUGAAGCCCUUUAUCUACUGACCCAGAGUCAGAUGAGGUCCUUUAUCUACUGACCCAGAGUCAGAUGAGGCCCUUUAUCUACUGACCCAGAGUCAGAUGAGGCCCUUUAUCUACUGACCCAGAGUCAGAUGAGGCCCUUUAUCUACUGACCCAGAGUCAGAUGAGGCCCUUUAUCUACUGACCCAGAGUCAGAUGAGGCCCUUUAUCUACUGACCCAGAGUCAGAUGAGGCCCUUUAUCUACUGACCCAGAGUCAGAUGAGGCCCUUUAUCUACUGACCCAGAGUCAGAUGAGGCCCUUUAUCUACUGACCCAGAGUCAGAUGAGGCCCUUUAUCUACUGACCCAGAGUCAGAUGAGGCCCUUUAUCUACUGACCCAGAGUCAGAUGAGGCCCUUUAUCUACUGACCCAGAGUCAGAUGAGGCCCUUUAUGUACUGACCCAGAGUCAGAUGAGGCCCUUUAUCUACU
This is a long non-coding RNA of Oncorhynchus keta (chum salmon), 610 nucleotides long. RefSeq lists it as uncharacterized. The transcript has 4 exons. The record is from RefSeq and is a predicted model, not a curated record. NCBI's taxonomy places the organism in Eukaryota, Metazoa, Chordata, Actinopteri, Salmoniformes, Salmonidae.